AUUGAACGCUGGCGGCACGCCUAACACAUGCAAGUCGAGCGGUAACAUGAUUUGUAGCAAUACAAAUUGAUGACGAGCGGCGGACGGGUGAGGAACACGUAGGAAUCUGCCCAGAAGCGGGGGACAACCAAGGGAAACUUUGGCUAAUACCGCGUAAUCUCGAGAGAGUAAAGCUGCCCGCAAGGGUGGCGCUUCUGGAGGAGCCUGCGUCCGAUUAGCUAGUUGGUGGGGUAACGGCUCACCAAGGCGACGAUCGGUAGGGGGUGUGAGAGCAUGACCCCCCACACGGGUACUGAGACACGGACCCGACUCCUACGGGAGGCAGCAGUAAGGAAUAUUGGACAAUGGAGGGAACUCUGAUCCAGCCAUGCCGCGUGAAGGAUGAAGGCGCUCAGCGUUGUAAACUUCUUUUGGAUGGGAACAAUAACUUCUACGUGUAGGAGCUUGAGGGUACCAUCAGAAUAAGCACCGGCUAACUCCGUGCCAGCAGCCG
Molecule: ribosomal RNA, 493 nt
Filed under: uncultured bacterium
Lineage: Bacteria
Description: bacterial SSU rRNA
Rfam family: Bacterial small subunit ribosomal RNA
Source: RNAcentral